AUACGGAGGGUGCGAGCGUUAUUCGGGAUCACUGGGCGUAAAGGACGCGUAGGCGGGUUGGCAAGUCAGAUGUGAAAUCCUACAGCUUAACUGUAGAACUGCAUUUGAAACUGCUAACCUAGAGUAUGGGAGGGGGAGAUGGAAUUAGUGGUGUAGGGGUAAAAUCCGUAGAUAUCACUAGGAAUACCGAAAGCGAAGGCGAUCUCCUGGAACAUAACUGACGCUAAGGCGUGAAAGCGUGGGGAGCAAACAGGAUUAGAAACCCUAGUAGUCC
RNAcentral lists this ribosomal RNA (274 nucleotides) under uncultured bacterium. RNAcentral's name for it is "partial 16S ribosomal RNA". It matches the Rfam family "Bacterial small subunit ribosomal RNA", at positions 523 to 796 of the family's 1533-position model. The record is from RNAcentral.